Gallus gallus (chicken) is the source of this 1295-nucleotide long non-coding RNA. Lineage: Eukaryota; Metazoa; Chordata; Aves; Galliformes; Phasianidae. The record is from Ensembl.
AAUCCCACUUUGUUUGGCCUAAGAAACAGAUAAGCCACUGGGUUUGGUCUAGAAAUAUUCUGUAACAGAGAACUUCUUUUUUCUUUCUUGUGGCUUGUCCCAAAGAUACUGAAAAACCCUGAAAGAAGUCUGGUACAACUGAAAAAAAUAUCCAGUCAAUGGAGAGACACUUGAUGAGCUUACUCCUCUCCAUCCAAAGACCAUUCAACCUUAAUUUCAGCAGUUUUUCAUGAAAAUACAUGGGGAGGAGGCAGUGUCUACAGUUUUCAAACAAAGACGUGUCAUGCUUUUAGGUGUGCUUGUGACAUAUGCUGUCAACCCAUUUCCAAAUGCUGCUUGGCUUUUCACACUGAAGUUGACUUUCCUCAGACAAAAUACAGCUAUAAGUAUAUUCUACCUGCACGACGUUUUUCACCCUUCCAUAUCUUGCGAUCCAUACAAAGAGCUUUUGUACAAGUGAUCCUAAAGAUCUUCCCAGUUGGAUUGAUUCAUUGAUAACUGCCCCAAAAGGGACAGUGUUUCUUCUCUUGGUAAAACUGAGCCUUCCAUAUCACAAAACAAAGGUAAAAGUGUGUUAUUUGUGUCAGAGGACUAUAGCAGUCUUAAAAUCCUCAGGGCAAGCCUAUUUCAUGCACCAUCUUAUAGCACCAGAAGCACAACCAGCUGAGCAUGCUGUAGAGGUGGGAAAGCUUGAAGUCUCCCAGCCCUGAAGCACUGCCAGCACUGACUAUCCCUGUCCCAGGUUCUUUCUCAGCCACUGGGGCUCCCCUCAACCUGCUCAGUUCCAGGCCCUUGUGUCUGCCAUGAGGCCAUUAUCCCCUGCCCCAGCAAGGCCACAGCAGAACUGGUCACCGAGGAUUAGCAAAGUGAGGUAUGCAGAGGACUGUCUAACUGGGGGAAUGAUGAGUCUCUGGUCAAGAUACAGAGAAGUGCUGAAGGAUCUCCUUCUUUUCAGGCAUUUAGGAAUCAUUUGACAAACCUCUUUGCCAUUGGCUGAGAUAUACUUGAUGCCUUUCACCAAAAAAAUUAGAUUAGAUGAUUUAUUGAUGUCCUUAUCACAUUUGAUUUCAGUGAUUUCUGUUUCUAUUACUGCUAAGAGCAAGGUGGGGUUUUUGUUGUUGUUGUUGUUUGGUUGGUUGGUUGGUUUUGGUUUGGUUUUAUUUAUUUAUUUGUUUGUUUAUUGCACUGUAGAGUUAUGAAUGAUAUCCAUAUUUCUUAUGUAGUAUCAAAACACAUAUGUUUUCUUCAACAUGACUCCAGGUAGCAGUCCAAAACAAAAACAAAAACAAAAAAAA